GGGUCCUUUUCCAGCAUACCCAGAAGCUACAGAGAUGGAGAGAGAGGAACAGAACAAACAAACAAUGCGCUCAUCCACAACAUUGAUAAGCCACCAAAGCGAUGACGCACAAAGGCCAGGGUGCGACGGGAGCCCCGGUGGCAGGCAAGCCUAGAGGAGUGGACCACUCAAGGACCAAGGAGCGGACAGUGCCAGGCACAAACAUCCAGUUAUCUGCCCAUCUCCAAAUGGGUCAGAUCAGCUUUGCAGUAAAUAACUUCAGCCAGACCCCCUUUCACCCGCAGAGGGGUGCGAAGGGAGCUGGUGGCAGGUGACAGCUCACGCCCUGCUGUAAAUCAAGGACAGAACAUUCAGCUCUCUCGCUCUCCAAAUUAACCCGAGGAAUUUGCCUUUGUUUCACAGAUUUUCCCUCCGAAACUCUAACACGUUUUAAAGCGAAUACUGGAACAAUAUUUCUAAUAUAGAACGAGGGGAAUGGUCAGAGGCGACCUAAAAGAACACGGAUGUCAGGCUGUUUGUUAUUUUGUGAUGUCAUUAUAAAAGAUUAAAGGAAAUACUGUAUACACACUA
Molecule: long non-coding RNA, 570 nt
Organism: Oncorhynchus kisutch (coho salmon)
Lineage: Eukaryota; Metazoa; Chordata; Actinopteri; Salmoniformes; Salmonidae
Exons: 2
Source: RefSeq, a predicted model, not a curated record